Molecule: long non-coding RNA, 2113 nt
Organism: Nematostella vectensis (starlet sea anemone)
Lineage: Eukaryota; Metazoa; Cnidaria; Anthozoa; Actiniaria; Edwardsiidae
Exons: 2
Source: RefSeq, a predicted model, not a curated record
AUUACCCUGUUACUGCCACCCCUACCCCACCCACUAUACUGUUACUGUCACCCCUACCCCACUCACUACCCUGUUACUGCCACCCCUACCCCACCCACUACCCUGUUAUUGCCACCCCUACCCCACCCACUUCCUUGUUACUGCCGCCCCUACCCCACCCACUACCCUGUUACUGUCACCCCUACCCCACCCAUUACCCUGUUACUGCCACCCCUACCUCUAACACUACCCUGUUACUGUCUCCCCUACUCCACCCACUACCCUGUUACUGCCACCCCUACCCCACCCACUACCCUGUUACUGCCACCCCUACCCCUAACACUACCCUGUUACUGUCUCCCAAAGGUGCCAUGGUACAAAUUUAAGCAACAGCCAGGCAAAGCGCGCCAGCGAUAGCGGAAAUAAUCUAUUUAGAAAAGCACCAACAUGUUUCUAGUAGAUUUACUAUCAAACGAGGGAAAAACCCAUAUGCGAAAGCGUUAAAAUUAUCUUAAAAGAUGACAAAACAUUAUUGAGACAUUAUUGAUUAGUGAAACCCCCUCGCAAAAAGCUAGAUCCGCCCCCUGACUAUUGAAUGUAUAUUAUUGGCCCCUGACAGCAGUAAAUAUUUCCGAACUUGGUUAUUAAUAUUUAAUGAUAUAACAGAUAUAACAAACUGUGCGACGCGCAAUAACUUUGGUUGAGUUCAGUGCGUCGCUGAACAGAAGAAAUAAUCUAACAUUGGUCAGGGAAGGAAGAUAAUGCAUCGUUACCUUACGGCCUGCUUGUUUUCCGCCAUCUUCCUCAUCUGCAUGUUUAACGCAUGCGCAAAUGCUCGAUGCCGUCAAACAAUAGGCACUGAGUACGGGUUCUACCUGAUGAAUCACGUGAACGAAACUCGGCACGGGAUUGGUCUAGUUGGCUGCAUACAAGCGUGCACAGGCUCAAGUCAUUGCAAGAGCGUCAAUAUCGACUUGAAACGUGAUGUGUGCGAGAUGAACUCCGCCUCUAGAGAUGAGUUUUCAGGAGAUUUGGUGAAAACGUACGGCACCUUGUAUGCUACGAUGAAUAACUAGUAUACGGUGUUUAAUCACCAUUAGAAGACCACGGAUAACACAUAACUAGUAUACGGUGCAUAUCACCAUUAGAAGACCACGGAUAACACCUAAAGUUACCCGUUUACGCAUCCUUGUACAGUUGUGUAACCCACCUACACAUUUAGAUAAAGGAUAUGUGUGUGGCGCGCUACCACUGCAAACCGGAGGGGACUCCGAUAAAAACGGACGGGGUGAUUUUAACCCUAGACCCUGGGCACUUUGAAUGUGGUCAACAGAAAUUCUUACCCCUUAGAAAUAGCAGAAUAGAAAAAAAACGUUAAACACGUACCCCCUUAGGAAUAGCAGUUGGUCGAAUUUUACUUCCCUAAGAGAUGGCAGAAUUUAACACCCCCUAAGGCAGUUGGUUUAAAUUUUAUAACCUAAAAGAUAGGACGACCCCCCACCCGUCUACUUUGCUGGAGAGUCCCCCCCCGGGCGUUGCCACAUUGACAGUUUUGUGAAGCCAAAAAGAAUGCGAGUAUCUUACUGUCAUGAACUUCACCGGCAAACAGCAUGGGAGAGAAAUACUCCAGUGCAUAUUAGAACACAGCGGAAUCCCCCUCGUCACGAAGCUCGUUUCAGUCAAAACUGGUCUUCUCAUCGCAUGCUUAAUAGAAAUCUUUCUUUAAACUUUGUAUAGUAGCCUAACACUUACGUACAUUUUGUAAGCACUCAUCCUAUUCUACAAUCCUGUGGUCUCCUAUGCAGUCGUUCUGACCUGUCACGCAACAAGUUAUGGUUCUUUACCGUGGAAACAACGAUUCAGUAAAGCUUUUGUCCUAAAUAUAAGCAGCCCUCUAUUAGAUCAACCCACACGGUGCCCAUUCAGCUAUCUACGAUUUUAUCCCCGGUGAAGGGUAGAGGAGACGGAUGUCUAAACGCUGUGUUUCGUUAAAGUCUCGAGACUUUUACAAGGUGUUUGCAAAAAGACGGGCUACGAUGCGAGCCAAGGUUUUGUAAAUUUUCUAAUGCUUUCACAAUUUGUUAUUCGAGACUGUUAUACAAUGGGACAAUUAAAUCUGCGUUAUUAUAAACCA